GAUGAACGCUGGCGGCGUGCCUAAUACAUGCAAGUCGAGCGAACGGACGAGAAGCUUGCUUCUCUGAUGUUAGCGGCGGACGGGUGAGUAACACGUGGAUAACCUACCUAUAAGACUGGGAUAACUUCGGGAAACCGGAGCUAAUACCGGAUAAUAUUUUGAACCGCAUGGUUCAAAAGUGAAAGACGGUCUUGCUGUCACUUAUAGAUGGAUCCGCGCUGCAUUAGCUAGUUGUUAAGGUAACGGCUUACCAAGGCAACGAUGCAUAGCCGACCUGAGAGGGUGAUCGGCCACACUGGAACUGAGACACGGUCCAGACUCCUACGGGAGGCAGCAGUAGGGAAUCGUCCGCAAUGGGCGAAAGCCUGACGGAGCAACGCCGCGUGAGUGAUGAAGGUCUUCGGAUCGUAAAACUCUGUUAUUAGGGAAGAACAUAUGUGUAAGUAACUGUGCACAUCUUGACGGUACCUAAUCAGAAAGCCACGGCUAACUACGUG
RNAcentral lists this ribosomal RNA (497 nucleotides) under uncultured bacterium. Its description in RNAcentral is "partial 16S ribosomal RNA". It matches the Rfam family "Bacterial small subunit ribosomal RNA", at positions 28 to 507 of the family's 1533-position model. The record is from RNAcentral.